CUCCUUCAAUACCCUUUCUUUGCAAAAGUUCUCACGGUUCUUCAAAGCCUUCAGUAGUCACUAAUCAAUUAAUGUUAAUAUUUCUACCAGGGAAUUUCUAAACCUCACAACACAGAUUUUUAAAAGUUCUCUAAUCAAUCGAUGGCAGACUGGGAACAGACUUCUGGGAUCUGGCCCUUCUUCACCUACCCCUUGAUAAAAGGCUUCCUCACACGGCUGUUUUGGAGAACCGUGUCUCGCUUCCUUCCAGAUACAAGAACUGGGGCCUUCCAAUGGUAAAGAAAGAUCAGUAAGACCAGUGUGGGGGAGGGGGGGGAUGGGAGGGAUAGGGGGAGACCAGCCUAGCUUCUCCUAGGAACUUGGUGGGGCAGGAAAACAAACUUCAGAGUAGGGGAGCAAGAACAUAUCAUGUCGUUUUCCAUCUCCCAAUAGAAUCUGAACUAGAUUGUGGCCAACGUAUGACACCAACUUCCGAGUGUGGGAAUAACAGGAUUUCAAGAUUCACCGGCUUCUGCCAGGGUUCCUGAGGUGCUCUGCGUUUCCAGCGCACACCGGUGGCACAAAGGCCGCGCCGCCGCGCCGCCCGCGCCAGCCCUGCGCGUGGUCCCCGCCCGCCGGAUGUUGACGGCGUCGCCUAGCAACGGGAGAUGGCUGAGCCGGGUGGCCAGGACGGCGGGUCUCAGCUGGAAGGCGAAUCGACUUCUGAAGGAGAAGAGACCCAGAGUACUGACGGCGACACGGUGUCCCCCACAGGGAAGACCAGUGACCCAAACAUUGACGAGGCUGUUGGUGUUACAGAGUUUUCUGAAGAGGGAUUUGCGGCCUCUGGGGAAGUCAUAACCGAAGGAGAAAUUGAAAUUGAGGGGGAAGUCGAAAAUGACGGGGAAGUGGAAACUGAGGAAGAAGGGGAAAUUGAGGGGGAAGUGGAAACUGAUGGAGAUGUGGAAACAGAAGAGGACGUAGUCGAAUUUGAAGGGGAGUUGGAGUCAGAAAUGGAAGCCACAUCCCCUGAAGGGAAAGUCAGUUCCAUAGAUCUGGCUUAUUCAGAAGCCGGUGCUGCGGAGGUGCCCGGAGAGGAAGUGGGCCCCACGGACCCGCAUGAGCAUGUAAGGAGGGAAGGUGUUCCUGAAGACAGAGAAGCCCCCCGUCCAUCAGAAUCCAGAGAUUUGGGGGACAUCUCCACUCAGCCAUCCUGGCAAGUAGUCGACUCUUCGGGGCAAAUAGGCCAGGAUGUUUCUGGACCCAGGGUUAGCGGACCGGUAAGUGGCCCUGGGGUCUACCGGACGAAAGUGUUUGACUGCCGAUGCAGUGGCUCACCCUAUGUGAGCAACUCAGGGCACAUUAUAAAAACAAACUGCAAUCCCUGUUAGAAAUUUCUUAGCAAACUCGGGACCCACUUUUGCAUGCCGAGAGUUUCUGGACCUCUCUUUGGUGUUCCCAAACCCAAGGCUGGAAACAUUCUAUGUAAGGGCAUCCAGGUUUCCGGUCUCUGGAACCGCACCAUCCAGUGAAACUUUCCGUGGUGAAGGAAAUGUCCAGCAUGGUAGCCAUCAGUACAAGGGGCUACAGAGACUUUAAAUGUGGCCUGGGAGAGGAGGAACUGAAUUUUUAAUGAGGAUUCUAAUUAAAUUAAAUUAAUAUAACCACCUGUUGCUAGUGGUUACCAUACAGGACAAGGCAAUUCAAGAUAAUAAUGAUUAUGACGACAAUAGUUAUGAUCUUACAAUUUUAUUUUUUUUACUUUUAAACAAGCAUGGGCUUAUAGAAAAGUUGGAGUAUGAUUAGAAGAACUUGUUAUUUUUUUAAGCCUUGGAGAGUAAGUCAAUGAUUGGAUGGGCCAUUGCCUCCAAAUGCUUCCAUGCGUGUUUUCCACAAACAACCAAAACAUAACUAUCAAUAUCUAGAAAUUUCACUACAUUACCAAAUAAUCCUCAGGCCUCAUUCACCAAGUGUCUCAAUGACACCUUUUAUAGCGGACGUACGGUUCCAAAUCACAUGUUGCCUUUGGUUGUCCCAUCUCUCGGUCUUAAUCAUUCCUUGACUUUAAUGACCUUGGCACGUCUAAAGAUCACCAGCCAGCGACCCUUAAAAUGCCUCUCAGUUUGGAUUUGCCUGGUUUUCCUCUUGAUGAGAUCUGGGUUAUGAUCCCUUGGGAAGGGGUCACAGAGGGAGGCUGGUUCUUCUUCUGUCCUACGAGGUGGUACAUUAACUGUAGUUUGUCCCAUUACCAGUGGUGUUGCUGUGGGCCCCUUGAUGAAAACGCUCCAGCCUUCUCCACUGGGAAGUUACCCUUCACCCCUUCGCAUUCAAGAAAAAUGGUGCGGGAAGGCGGUCCUCUUGUUUGAGAUAGGAAAGUAUUUCAAAUGAAGAAACAAAAUCACAGCAGGUUACUACCAUAUUGGUAGGGUUAGUUCAUCUUUCUCCCAGCAGGGUGUUUAGGCCCAGUUUUGGUCAGAUUUAUCCCUAACCACUUUACAUUCUUGAUGCUAUUGGAAGCGGCUUCCAGUUGUCUGCUGCUGUACUGUACACAGAAAUACAACUGACUUUUGUAUAUUGGUCUUAUAUUCAGCAACACUGCCAAACACCCUUGUUCCAGUAGCUUUUUUUUUUUUUUUAGAAUCAUAGGAUUUUUCAUAAAGAAAAGAUCAUGUUCUCCGUGAAUAAAGGUGGUUUAACUUCGUCCUUUCCAAUCCAGAUGCCCUUUAUAUCUUUUCCUUGACUCCUUACACUGGCUAGAACUUCCAGUACAACGUUGAAGAGAAAUUGUCUCCAGUUUGGCCAGUGAGGGCCCAUUCAAACGACCUUUGUGUCCUUCUGACGCCCCGGGGCAUUCUGUGUGUUGCCAUCCCUCAUUCUUGGAACGCAUUCUUGUUCUCUGUGGCACAAACUGCCCGGCCCUAGAAUCCGACAUUUCUCCAGGAGCCUGGCUUCUUCUCAUGGAAAAUAAAAUGUAGCAGUCAUGAUUUGGGCUCUAGGUAAUCUCACUGCCACCAGGGUGUCACUGUCCCCAGGCUCUCUCAGUAUCAUACACAACACCCCUCACACACAGCGCACACAGACACAGCGCAUACCAACCCCUCUCUAACACAGCUCACCACUGAGUGGGUU
RNAcentral lists this long non-coding RNA (3108 nucleotides) under Ailuropoda melanoleuca (giant panda). RNAcentral describes it as "lncRNA (ENSAMEG00000025479.1)". The record is from RNAcentral. Lineage: Eukaryota; Metazoa; Chordata; Mammalia; Carnivora; Ursidae.